GUGAAUGGAACAUUCCAGGCCAAAGGGAGGCAGAGACGGGGUUCUGUGUGACUGGGCACCUGUGGAAUCUUCCUUUAUAGUCACUAUUAAAUCGGUGUUGACAAAUCAAAUAUCAAUAUGGAACACCAUCAUCUGACUGGAAUCUGAGAAAUCAUCCACACCUCCUGAGUGGAAGCAUACAGAAGAUACAUUUCUGCAGGAUGCUGGGGACCUGGGGGCUAGGCUGCAUCCACUUUGGCUGAGCCUGUUCCAUACUGUCCAGCUCCCACUGUCACAUCCUUUCUCUUGAUGGUGAGGGAGCUGACGAAGGACAGACUCAGGUUCUCACAGGAGACAUGAAUUUGCCACAUCACCUUGCUAAAGUUCUCAUGUCCCCCAUGCCUUUCUGCUUGGAUUUUUCUUUUAAGACAACCUUUUUUUUUUUUUUUCUUAAAAGAGCAAAUUAUGCCACACAUGGAGAAAAAGCUUAAAUUUAGGAUUUAUAAUACAGGCUUCAGUGAAGACAUAAAGAGAUGGUUUGGUAAUUUAGUACAUACAUACACAUUAAAGGUUUAUGCAGAGCAAGAACAUGGAAUACCCCAUAAUGGACUUCCCACGUAGCUGUGGGAUGCACAGACCACUACCUGCAUGGAUCAAGAUGCAUCCUGGAAUGGACUUCCCACUGA
This is a non-coding RNA of Peromyscus maniculatus bairdii (prairie deer mouse), 665 nucleotides long. The record is from RefSeq and is a predicted model, not a curated record. NCBI's taxonomy places the organism in Eukaryota, Metazoa, Chordata, Mammalia, Rodentia, Cricetidae.